CCCAUCAUUGGUAGAUUGGAUAAAGAAAGUGUGGUACAUAUGGUCAUUUUAUUAGGAAGUGAAAUAAAGUGUAUGUUAAUGAGCAUGUUGCUUUUGUGGGCCUAAUCCUAACAGCAACCGUCUGAGAAGCUGUGUGGAGCAUCCCUCAAGUCAUCCUUUCUUGGAUGAUGGGGAGGCUGGGGCAUUUAUCCACUUACCUUCCUUCCCCAUUGGUUGAUGGGUGUCCCUGGUGGCAUGAACCCCUCUCACUUCAGGGUUGCAUUUUUUUUUUGACAGAGCAAACCCCAUGGUGUUGGAGAAUCAGGAGAAGAAGAGAGAGGCUGGUCUAGAGGUGCAGAGCUUUCAGCAAACUGCUUACCACACCUAAGGUGAAUUCAGGUGGGCCCUGCAGGCAUGGGGUGUGGUGUUGACAGGGUCUGCUACACUUGGCAAGGGUUAAGGUUAGAAUUAGAGUCAGGAUUAGUAAACUCUGAUAGGUUGAAGUAAACAAAGAAAAAAGAGCAUCAGCAUCAACCUCUCCCACUCUUUCCUCAGGAUAUAUUGAGAACCACAUUUUGGCAAAGUGUGUAUAAACUAUUAAUAAAGUAUCAUUUAUUUCAUAGUUUUUGAUAAAAUAUGUAAAUUGAAACUCUAAUAUUUUCUUUCCACACCUGGAAGGUCAUUUUGAAUAUCUCUUGGGAGCCUGCAUCUCUUCCUUAUGAUCAGUUUCCUAGCACAGCGACUCAAGGGCCUGAUGCGUCAGGCUGCUGAGAUAUCUAUCUGUUCCGACAAAGGCUGCAUCAGUGCCAUGAAAACACAUCACGUGCUGCAAGUCCUGGCAACAUUUAUGUCUCCAAUGCAAAAUUGUGGAUUUCUGCCAAGAAUUUACCUGCCUAUUCUCCAAGGACAAACAGUGUGUGUUGCAGCCCUAAAACUACAUAUUUUCCUGCUACUUCAAAAUCUCCAUAAAAGGGCUGUGAGUUUCCAAUUUAGUCAACCAGGUGCACCAAUGUGAUAAGGUUGGUCCCUGCUGGAGGUUCUCCUUCCUACUUCCUUUCCUGACUGUGACCUAGUGACAUUCAAACACACCAAUGAAAUUCCCUCACUCUUUUUCUUGUGUGUCCCACCCUGAACCUCAAUAAAUGUACUUGCUCACAGGUUCUCUCUCUCUCUCUGCUUCCCAUCUGCUUGGGUGAUCCUGAUCCCUUCGUGCUCAUUCCCAUGUGAUUCCCCUUUCAGCAUGCAGUGAUCCUGUCUCUCUGGGACCUGUGAGCAUCAUAAACUGUUUUUUCCUGAGCCUCUCCUGUUUCUUCUCGUGGCCACACCUGACUUACCAUCUCAUGAAAGAAUGCAAAACAGUGAUUAUACUUUUUUUUUUUCCUUUAGGAAGGAGAGUAACAGAAGGAUCAGUUUCCAUUGAAAGUGCUAUGAUACAAU
Molecule: long non-coding RNA, 1416 nt
Filed under: Pan troglodytes (chimpanzee)
Lineage: Eukaryota; Metazoa; Chordata; Mammalia; Primates; Hominidae
Description: lncRNA (ENSPTRG00000054475.1)
Source: RNAcentral